UGAGUACGAGCUGCUACGGCAGCGAAGUGGGUGAUGUCAAGCUUCCAAGAAAAGCCCUAUACCCGUUAAGGCAUGACGGCCUGUACCCGAAACCGACACAGGUGGGGUGGUAGAGAAUACCGAGGGGCGCGAGAUAACUCUCUCUAAGGAACUCGGCAAAAUGGCCCCGUAACUUCGGGAGAAGGGGUGCCACCGCAAGGUGGUCGCAGUGAAGAGGCCCAGGCGACUGUUUACCAAAAACACAGGUCUCCGCUAAGUCGCAAGACGAUGUAUGGGGGCUGACGCCUGCCCAGUGCCGGAAGGUUAAGGAAGCUGGUCAGCGCAAGCGAAGCUAGCGACUGAAGCCCCGGUGAACGGCGGCCGUAACUAUAACGGUCCUAAGGUAGCGAAAUUCCUUGUCGGGUAAGUUCCGACCCGCACGAAAGGCGUAACGAUCUGGGCGCUGUCUCGGAGAGAGGCUCGGCGAAAUAGAAUUGUCUGUGAAGAUGCGGACUACGUGCACCCGGACAGAAAGACCCUAUGAAGCUUUACUGUAGCUUGGUAUUGUGCCCGGGCUCUGAAUGCGCAGGAUAGGUGGGAGGCUUUGAUCCAUUGCUUGUGGGUAAUGGUGAGCCACUGGUGAGAUACCACUCUUUCAGAGCUAGGGUUCUAACGGUCACCCGUUAUCCGGGGACCGGACAGUAUCAGGUGGGCAGUUUGACUGGGGCGGUCGCCUCCUAAAAGGUAACGGAGGCACGCAAAGGUUCCCUCAGGCUGGUUGGAAAUCAGCCGACGAGUGUAAAGGCAGAAGGGAGCUUGACUGUGAGACCUACAAGUCGAACAGGGACGAAAGUCGGCCUUAGUGAUCCGACGGUUCUGAGUGGAAGGGCCGUCGCUCAACGGAUAAAAGUUACUCUAGGAUAACAGGCUGAUCUCCCCCAAGAGUUCACAUCGACGGGGAGGUUUGGCACCUCGAUGUCGGCUCAUCGCAACCUGGGGCUGAAGUCGGUCCCAAGGGUUGGGCUGUUCGCCCAUUAAAGCGGUACGCGAGCUGGGUUCAGAACGUCGUGAGACAGUUCGGUCCAUAUCCGGUGCACGCGCAGGAACAUUGAGAGGAUUUCUCCCUAGUACGAGAGGACCGGGAGGAACGCACCUCUGGUGUACCAGUUAUCGUGCCAACGGUAAACGCUGGGUAGCCAUGUGCGGAGCGGAUAACCGCUGAAAGCAUCUAAGUGGGAAGCCCACCUCAAGAUGAGUGUUCCCAUGGCAUAAGCCAGUAAGGUCACGGGAAGAACACCCGUUGAUAGGCUCUACGUGGAAGCGUGGCAACACGUGAAGCGGAGGAGUACUAAUAGACCGAGGGCUUGAU
Molecule: ribosomal RNA, 1348 nt
Filed under: metagenome
Description: bacterial LSU rRNA
Rfam family: Bacterial large subunit ribosomal RNA
Source: RNAcentral